Long non-coding RNA from Myotis myotis, 4688 nucleotides. RefSeq lists it as uncharacterized. The record is from RefSeq and is a predicted model, not a curated record. The transcript has 4 exons. Lineage: Eukaryota; Metazoa; Chordata; Mammalia; Chiroptera; Vespertilionidae.
CAAAAUUACAGUUAUGAAGUAGCAACGAAAAUAAUUUUAUGGUUGGGGGUCACCACAACAUGAGGAACUGUAUUAAAGGGUCGCGGCAUUAGGAAGGUUGAGAACCACUUGUAUAAAAUAAGUCAAAGGAUUUGUUUUUCCCUUGAAGAGAGCUGGCUGGGGAUGGGACAAACUGGAAUGUGUUUCUUGGCUUCGGACAUGGAUCUAGCUAAGGGGAGUGACAGAGGAGAGAGGAUGAGGGAGCUCGGACAAUGGGGGGCUGAACAGGAGGAGAGAUUCACUUCCUCUGAGAAGAGAAGAAAGGAGGUGAGUAGUGUACGUGGGGUGGAGGAUGGGAGGCAAGAUAGAGGAGACAGAAAUGAGUAUAAAAGUACAGUUCACGCCCAUUGGCAUCUGCUUUCUCGGUGAAGGAGGUUAGAAAAGCCAUCUGCCAGGAGUGGAGGGGGCAGGAUGUAGGCAGAAGGUUGAGGAGGGGGCAAAGAUCUGUCUGACUGCUGACAGGGUGGCAAAGGGAGCCAACCAAAGACAAGAACAAAGAUGAAUGAGCAGACUCUGGUGAGGCAAUCUGCAGGAAUGUCGCUUUCUAGUCAGAAGAGUGAAGAGAUGGGCUGUAGGAGAAAUGUAGGGGUGAAGAGCUAAGAGGACUGGAAGAGUGACAUUUAGGUAGGCAAAAAAAGUAAGGCCAGGAGGGAACUGAUGAACCUAGAAAAAAAUGGUGGUGUCUAGGCACUGGAUGUCAUAAUAGGGAUGAAGAUAGGGUGUACUGCAAAUGACAAAUAUAAAGGAGAUUAAGAUUAAGUCACUGAAGAAGAGAGGCACUAUGGGUAAAAAUGUAACCCAUGGCAUGGCAGGAGCUGAGGUUGACCAGCUGACUAUUACCUGAACUCCUCAGAGACACAAAGUUGAUAAAUGACAGGAAGGAAGGAUGGAAGAAGGCAGAGCACAACAUGAACUUCAAAGGAGUGGGUGGGGCUGGUUUAAAAGCAUGCCAAUAUAUUUAAACACACCUAUAAAAAGCACCCUCAUCCACCGAACCUUAUGCUCAAUAACAUCAUUUCAAGGGGCACAAAUCGUGCACCCUAGCAAUUGCUUCUGGUACCUCAUCACGACCACAAAACAGUAGAAAGAGGCAAAGUAAAUGACCCCGGUAGUAUCCAUUCCCUCCAACUGGAUAGCUCAGAGAUGUCUGGAGACUGGAUUAAAAUAAUUGGACCCAACUCUGACACUGUCUUCUAAGAGACGUUCCCUUUCCAUAGAAAAGCGUUUACCUACGUGUGAUAAAGUGAGUGGGUUUGGGUCAACUGAUUACACUGUAGGAAUAUGAUUUUCUAGGUGCAUAAAUAUUUUUAAAAAACAUUUUAUAGCAAUUUACCUCUGGAUUUUUAUGGCCUGCCACAUUUUUUUGCAAUAAAAAGCAAGGAAACUCUUCUCUAAUGAAUGGCAGGUUUAAUUAUUCAUUAUAUAGACAUCAUUACUUUGCUUCAAACAAUAGAAAAUCAAGAGGUUUGAAUAAAGAAGUCAUUUAUGAUGGUAACAUUCCAUUCCCUUUAAAAAUCAACUAACUAUUCAACUUCUGGUGGAGUUACACAGCUAGAGAGUGGGCCUUAAACAUGAUUCAUUUCAGUGUUUCGGGGUGUAAUAGUGACUCAGAGCAGCUGAGUGUAGACCUCUCACCAAACCCAGGGGUGAGGGGAAGGAGAAUUCAGCGGGAAGAGCAGUGCUCUGGAGGAGCAGGGACACCCCUCACCCUGUUGGCCCUAUGAGGUGAGGUUUGAGCUUCACGUACACUCAACAUAUAUGCAACGGCAGGUCUCUGCACUAACUCCUGCUACCUACGGUCACUCUACUGUCACAAAGGGGGUUGAAAUGCAGCGCUAGAGCUUCCUCCCCAUUUACUGGACCAAGCGUCAAGAUAGGGUGUAGCAAUUUUGACAGAUCUCAGUCUGGUAGGUUCAGUAGCACCUGCUAGCAAGGUUGUCAGUUCUUAGCAACUCUAACAAUACGAGCUCACAACGCAGCUAUUGAUCAGGGGGACAAAGGGCCUCUGUCAGGCCUGCCGAGCUGAGGACUGUGCCAGGAGAGCUGGGCUGUUUAUUAGUUGACAUCACCCUGGAGGGGAGCAUGGUCUGCUUCCUCGUGCUCACUGCACCUCAGGCAAAUUGAAAUGUGAAUUUUCUGAUUAAAUAAAGCGUUUUGUGUUUGUUUGUUUUUUUUUUAAAUUGAGGACAGGUUCUCCCAGUGGAUUUCUGUCCUUAAACAUAGCAUAAAUGUUUAGAAAAAAAAGUGGGAUUACCAAUAGAAAGAUGGUGAUUUGUUUCAAUUCAGGGACAGGCAUCUAAACGUUUCCAAUAUUUUUAAACUUUGCCACCAAUGAGAAUAUUCUUUGUUUCACUGUGAAUCUGCCGACAAAGAAGCUUUGUCUGUGAAAAUAGGUGUGAUGGCUACAAUAACACAGAAUUUCCUUUUCAGUUCUUUUGACCUUGGAUUACUGAAAUUUAAACCAAAUAAACAUUUUAAUAUCUAACAGACAGAUGGUGUGAAGAUUAAAAAAAUCAUUUAACCAAGAGCCGUCCCAGGGCCAGUUGGGACAUCACUGGAUUCUACACAGGGUCACACAAUUCCCCACAAAGAGAAGACCACCAAAGAGGCUAACAAAAUGAAGGCCGCCUCUGGGGACUGCACCACUGGAUUCGCCUUCAGCUUCUCACUGGAUUCAGCGCCAGAGAGGCACCGGAGGACAGGGUGCAAGGAGAACGCCAUCUGUUCUCCUGAUACCUCCUCAGGCUGGCUACCUUCAACCCCCUCCCUCAGGUCUCAGCUCUCAUAAUGUGGUCCACUCCUGCAGCUGUUCUCCACAUCUGGCAACAGCUUCCUCCCUUUCCCGCUCCAGGCCCAGAGGAUCCGAGACAACAAAACCAAUAGGCCUGGAAUUGCCGAACACACCUGAGCGAAUGUGGGCAGGUGAAGACAGUAAGAGAAGGUACACCAAGUGUCAGAGUGACGCGCAGACUCUGGUUAGAAUGGAGGAUUAUUGUCACACCCACAAAUAUUCCCUCCUGACCCCAGAAGCCCGCCCUCCCUCCUACCUGUCCAGUCAGCACACCCAUCCCUUUCGGGACAUCUGCAGGCUAUCCCGACAUCCUCUCUGGGCAAGGGAAGCCUAGCCCAACCCAAUCUCAUCUCUGUUCAAGUCAUUCCAUAAGUAACUUUGGCAAAGAGUAACCCACCCUUUGCCACAUAUUGAGGGCUCUGGGCAACUUUCCCCAAAUUAACCUCGUGCGCAGGUUAAGAUUGUGCAUACACGUAAAAGACUAGCUUAAGUAGCAUCUUUGAGGGCAAAGAAAAUGCACCAUGGUUUACAUGAGUUUCUCAUCGUCAGGUAUGACAAAUGCAAACAGACCUGGCGACACCAUACCUUUCUUCCAUGGAAACCUCUUUCAUCUGCUGGUGUGGUUUGGUGCCCUCCAUUUCCCUGAUGCUCACGGCAUAGAUCUUGGUGGUGUAAUCAAUGGCCUUUUCUCUGGCAACAUCACUGUCAUAGCCUCAAAGGACAGAAAGGUGGAGAAUGGAGUUGGAUUGCCAUGGCUCAGGAGGGGGUGGGGAGGGAGGUGCGGGUGGCACGUGGCUGCUGGGACUCACCUCCAUCCUCUUCUGCGUCGGUGUCCGACUCCUCGCUGUCCACCAGCUUGCUCUCCUGUGUCCCCACAAACUCCCUGGUCCAGAUCAUCAGGGCCGUGUCGGCGCCCCCUACCGUGAGCAGCACGGAAUCGUUGUGCAGCCAUCUCACGUUGGUGACGUGGGCGCUGUGCCCCACAUACUUCUUGAAUCUCGCGUGCUGGCCCUGUGAAGCCAGAAACUGGCCAUUACCGCAUCGGGAGCCCCACUGCUCCUGACUCUGGAUUAUCUCAUCCACGUUAUUCUCUAGAGUGGCUUGUACUGGAUACGAAUGAAACAUUUAAGCAGCAAUUUCCUUACAUUCCUCUAGACUGUAAGCUCUAUGAAGGCAGGGAACCGGUCUCCUUUCCCCCUAAAACGUUACCUGGCUCACCACAGGUCCCCUUUAAAUAAUUUGUAAGGGAACAAGUAAAAUGUUGGACUACAGAAGCUAUUUCUGGGAGCGUAAGGAAGUAUAAGAAGCUUGUUUUUGUUUCUCUCAAAUAUCAAAUGUGGAUUCUCCCCAGGUCUCUGGCAUAAACUCCUGAUUGUGAGUCUGGCUGACAUUUGAGAUCAGAGGUGGCCUCCCCGUCACUCCCCACAGUGGCUUUUGUACCACAGCCCAGACUGUGGCUGACCAGCAAGGGACUUCUAAUCCUGAGGCCUCAAGGAAGAUUUGAAACACACACACCAGUUUCUGCCACGGACCCUGGAAACAAUUUCUAACACUGCAAGCACUCGACUAAUUGAUUUAAAAACAAACCAUCAGGACUCGCUACCACGACACGCCCCUUCCACCAAAUACUGAAAGAAUGGAGACUCUGCCCUGGCCAGUGUGGCCCAGUUGGUUGAGCAUCGUCCUGUGCACCAAAAGGUCACCAGUUUGAUUCCUGAUGAGGGCACAUGGCCAAGUUGCGGGCUGGAGUGUGUACAGGAGGCAACAGCUCAAUGUUUCUUCCUCACAUUGAUGUUUCUCUCCCUUCCUAAGAAAAUCAAUAAAAACAUAUUUACAAAAAAAUAUGGAUAAUCUGAAA